This 345-nucleotide unclassified non-coding RNA is filed under the name soil metagenome. RNAcentral describes it as "partial contains 5.8S ribosomal RNA, internal transcribed spacer 2, and large subunit ribosomal RNA". The stretch from base 1 to 120 matches the Rfam family "5.8S ribosomal RNA", at positions 35 to 154 of the family's 154-position model. The record is from RNAcentral.
GAUGAAGAACGCAGCGAAAUGCGAUAAGUAAUGUGAAUUGCAGAACUCAGUGAAUCAUCGAGUCUUUGAACGCACAUUGCGCCCUCUGGUAUUCCGGAGGGCAUGCCUGUCCGAGCGUCAUUGCUGCCCUCAAGCACGGCUUGUGUGUUGGGCUCCGUCCCCCGAUCCCGGGGGACGGGCCCGAAAGGCAGCGGCGGCACCGCGUCCGGUCCUCGAGCGUAUGGGGCCUUGUCACCCGCUCUGUAGGCCCGGCCGGCGCUUGCCGAUCAACCAAAUUUUUAUCCAGGUUGACCUCGGAUCAGGUAGGGAUACCCGCUGAACUUAAGCAUAUCAAUAAGCGGAGGA